AGCGUACACGGUGGAUGCCCUGGCAGUCAGAGGCGAUGAAGGGCGUGCUAAUCUGCGAUAAGCGCCGGUAAGGUGAUAUGAACCGUUAUAACCGGCGAUACCCGAAUGGGGAAACCCAGUGUGAUUCGUCACACUAUCAUUAACUGAAUCCAUAGGUUAAUGAGGCGAACCGGGGGAACUGAAACAUCUAAGUACCCCGAGGAAAAGAAAUCAACCGAGAUUCCCCCAGUAGCGGCGAGCGAACGGGGAGGAGCCCAGAGCCUGAAUCAGCAUGUGUGUUAGUGGAAGCGUCUGGAAAGGCGCGCGAUACAGGGUGACAGCCCCGUACACAAAAGCGCAUGUGCUGUGAGCUCGAUGAGUAGGGCGGGACACGUGGUAUCCUGUCUGAAUAUGGGGGGACCAUCCUCCAAGGCUAAAUACUCCUGACUGACCGAUAGUGAACCAGUACCGUGAGGGAAAGGCGAAAAGAACCCCGGCGAGGGGAGUGAAAAAGAACCUGAAACCGUGUACGUACAAGCAGUGGGAGCACCCUUUGGGGUGUGACUGCGUACCUUUUGUAUAAUGGGUCAGCGACUUAUAUUCUGUAGCAAGGUUAACCGUAUAGGGGAGCCGAAGGGAAACCGAGUCUUAACCGGGCGUUAAGUUGCAGGGUAUAGACCCGAAACCCGGUGAUCUAGCCAUGGGCAGGUUGAAGGUUGGGUAACACUAACUGGAGGACCGAACCGACUAAUGUUGAAAAAUUAGCGGAUGACCUGUGGCUGGGGGUGAAAGGCCAAUCAAACCGGGAGAUAGCUGGUUCUCCCCGAAAGCUAUUUAGGUAGCGCCUCGUGAAUUCAUCUCCGGGGGUAGAGCACUGUUUCGGCUAGGGGGCCAUCCCGGCUUACCAACCCGAUGCAAACUGCGAAUACCGGAGAAUGUUAUCACGGGAGACACACGGCGGGUGCUAACGUCCGUCGUGAAGAGGGAAACAACCCAGACCGCCAGCUAAGGUCCCAAAGUCAUAGUUAAGUGGGAAACGAUGUGGGAAGGCCCAGACAGCCAGGAUGUUGGCUUAGAAGCAGCCAUCAUUUAAAGAAAGCGUAAUAGCUCACUGGUCGAGUCGGCCUGCGCGGAAGAUGUAACGGGGCUAAACCAUGCACCGAAGCUGCGGCAGCGACACUGUGUGUUGUUGGGUAGGGGAGCGUUCUGUAAGCCUGUGAAGGUGUGUCGUGAGGCAUGCUGGAGGUAUCAGAAGUGCGAAUGCUGACAUAAGUAACGAUAAAGCGGGUGAAAAGCCCGCUCGCCGGAAGACCAAGGGUUCCUGUCCAACGUUAAUCGGGGCAGGGUGAGUCGACCCCUAAGGCGAGGCCGAAAGGCGUAGUCGAUGGGAAACGGGUUAAUAUUCCCGUACUUGGUGUUACUGCGAAGGGGGGACGGAGAAGGCUAUGUUGGCCGGGCGACGGUUGUCCCGGUUUAAGCGUGUAGGUGUGUGUUCCAGGUAAAUCCGGUUCACUUUAACACUGAGGCGUGACGACGAGGCACUACGGUGCUGAAGCAACAAAUGCCCUGCUUCCAGGAAAAGCCUCUAAGCAUCAGGUAACAUCAAAUCGUACCCCAAACCGACACAGGUGGUCAGGUAGAGAAUACCAAGGCGCUUGAGAGAACUCGGGUGAAGGAACUAGGCAAAAUGGUGCCGUAACUUCGGGAGAAGGCACGCUGACACGUAGGUGAAGUGAUUUACUCAUGGAGCUGAAGUCAGUCGAAGAUACCAGCUGGCUGCAACUGUUUAUUAAAAACACAGCACUGUGCAAACACGAAAGUGGACGUAUACGGUGUGACGCCUGCCCGGUGCCGGAAGGUUAAUUGAUGGGGUCAGCGCAAGCGAAGCUCCUGAUCGAAGCCCCGGUAAACGGCGGCCGUAACUAUAACGGUCCUAAGGUAGCGAAAUUCCUUGUCGGGUAAGUUCCGACCUGCACGAAUGGCGUAAUGAUGGCCAGGCUGUCUCCACCCGAGACUCAGUGAAAUUGAACUCGCUGUGAAGAUGCAGUGUACCCGCGGCAAGACGGAAAGACCCCGUGAACCUUUACUAUAGCUUGACACUGAACAUUGAGCCUUGAUGUGUAGGAUAGGUGGGAGGCUUUGAAGUGUGGACGCCAGUCUGCAUGGAGCCGACCUUGAAAUACCACCCUUUAAUGUUUGAUGUUCUAACGUGGACCCGUGAUCCGGGUUGCGGACAGUGUCUGGUGGGUAGUUUGACUGGGGCGGUCUCCUCCUAAAGAGUAACGGAGGAGCACGAAGGUUGGCUAAUCCUGGUCGGACAUCAGGAGGUUAGUGCAAUGGCAUAAGCCAGCUUGACUGCGAGCGUGACGGCGCGAGCAGGUGCGAAAGCAGGUCAUAGUGAUCCGGUGGUUCUGAAUGGAAGGGCCAUCGCUCAACGGAUAAAAGGUACUCCGGGGAUAACAGGCUGAUACCGCCCAAGAGUUCAUAUCGACGGCGGUGUUUGGCACCUCGAUGUCGGCUCAUCACAUCCUGGGGCUGAAGUAGGUCCCAAGGGUAUGGCUGUUCGCCAUUUAAAGUGGUACGCGAGCUGGGUUUAGAACGUCGUGAGACAGUUCGGUCCCUAUCUGCCGUGGGCGCUGGAGAACUGAGGGGGGCUGCUCCUAGUACGAGAGGACCGGAGUGGACGCAUCACUGGUGUUCGGGUUGUCAUGCCAAUGGCACUGCCCGGUAGCUAAAUGCGGAAGAGAUAAGUGCUGAAAGCAUCUAAGCACGAAACUUGCCCCGAGAUGAGUUCU
Molecule: ribosomal RNA, 2774 nt
Filed under: Salmonella enterica subsp. enterica serovar 4,12:r:-
Lineage: Bacteria; Pseudomonadati; Pseudomonadota; Gammaproteobacteria; Enterobacterales; Enterobacteriaceae
Description: bacterial LSU rRNA
Rfam family: Bacterial large subunit ribosomal RNA
Source: RNAcentral